UGCUAAGCUACGUGGUGCAGGUUGCAGCA
RNAcentral lists this non-coding RNA (29 nucleotides) under Homo sapiens (human). Lineage: Eukaryota; Metazoa; Chordata; Mammalia; Primates; Hominidae. The record is from RNAcentral.